AGAGUUUGAUCAUGGCUCAGGGUUAACGCUGGCGGCGUGCCUAACACAUGCAAGUCGAACGGUUCUAAGCGCGAGCUUAGGAUAGUGGCGAACGGGUGAGUAAAAGGUAGGAAUCUACCCCUUGGACGGAGAUAGCUACUGGAAACGGUAGGUAAACUUCGAUAAGCCCGAGAGGGGAAAGUGGUGAGACAGCCGAGGGAUGAGCCUACUCUCCAUCAGGUAGUUGGUGAGAUAAAAGCUUACCAAGCCGAUGACGGAUAACCGGUGUGAGAGCAUGAACGGUCACAAGGGCACUGAGAGACGGGCCCUACUCCUACGGGAGGCAGCAGUGGGGAAUCUUGGACAAUGGGCGAAAGCCUGAUCCAGCGACGCCGCGUGGAGGAAGAAGUCCUUCGGGAUGUAAACUUCUGAACUAGCCGAAUAAAAGGCCUGUGGACACACAGGAGAAGAAAGUAGGCUAGGAAAAGUCCCGGCUAACUACGUGCCAGCAGCCGCGGUAAGACGUAGGGGGCAAGCGUUACCCGGAAUUACUGGGCGUAAAGGGGGCGUAGGCGGUAAAAGAAGUCAUCUGUGAAAACCUAUUGCUCAACGAUAGGCUAGCGGAUGAAACUGAAUUACUUGAGGGCACCAGAGGUAGACGGAAUUACCCGAGUAGGGGUGAAAUCCGCAGAUACGGGUAGGAACGCCGGUGGAGAAGUCGGUCUACUGGGGUGCACCAGACGCUGAGGCCCGAAAGCUAGGGGAGCAAACCGGAUUAGAUACCCGGGUAGUCCUAGCCGUAAACGAUGCUCACUANGUGUANGGAGUGAUAAACUCUCUGUGCUGAAGCGAACGCGCUAAGUGAGCCGCCNGGGGAGUACGUCCGCNAGGAUGAAACUCAAAGGNAUUGACGG
This 893-nucleotide ribosomal RNA is filed under the name uncultured bacterium. RNAcentral describes it as "bacterial SSU rRNA". It matches the Rfam family "Bacterial small subunit ribosomal RNA", at positions 8 to 916 of the family's 1533-position model. The record is from RNAcentral.